AUGAAUUCCAUCGAGACUCGGUGGUGGUCGGCUGGGUUCUGCACAAGUGAAAGGAGCAUGGUAACGAUUUUGAUCGGAGAUAGGCUGUUUGCGCUGGGUCGCAGAUGGGAGAGGGGAGGUCUAUGUCGAAGGUGGAACGUCGAGGUCGUCGGUGUAGGUUGCAUUCGCGGAUUGGCUGAGGUUGUGUGGGUCGUUCUCGGCAUUCGAAGGUUGCUGUUGCGAACAGAGGAGGGAAAAUUUUGUUGGGGAUGA
Non-coding RNA from Vicia faba (fava bean), 252 nucleotides. Lineage: Eukaryota; Viridiplantae; Streptophyta; Magnoliopsida; Fabales; Fabaceae. The record is from the annotation of a GenBank genome assembly.